AGAGUGAACGCUGGCGGUAGGCCUAACACAUGCAAGUCGAGCGGCAGCACGGGUACUUGUACCUGGUGGCGAGCGGCGGACGGGUGAGUAAUGCCUAGGAAUCUGCCUGGUAGUGGGGGAUAACGCUCGGAAACGGACGCUAAUACCGCAUACGUCCUACGGGAGAAAGCAGGGGACCUUCGGGCCUUGCGCUAUCAGAUGAGCCUAGGUCGGAUUAGCUAGUUGGUGAGGUAAUGGCUCACCAAGGCACGGAUCCGUAACUGGUCUGAGAGGAUGAUCAGUCACACUGGAACUGAGACACGGUCCAGACU
Molecule: ribosomal RNA, 311 nt
Filed under: uncultured soil bacterium
Lineage: Bacteria
Description: bacterial SSU rRNA
Rfam family: Bacterial small subunit ribosomal RNA
Source: RNAcentral